RNAcentral lists this ribosomal RNA (209 nucleotides) under uncultured bacterium. RNAcentral's name for it is "partial 16S ribosomal RNA". It matches the Rfam family "Bacterial small subunit ribosomal RNA", at positions 28 to 236 of the family's 1533-position model. The record is from RNAcentral.
GACGAACGCUGGCGGCGUGCUUAACACAUGCAAGUCGAGCGGUAAGGCCCUUUCGGGGGUACGACGAGCGGCGAACGGGUGAGUAACACGUGGGUGACCUGCCCUCCAGCUCUGGGAUAAGCCUGGGAAACCGGGUCUAAUACUGGAUAUGACUCCAUGACGCAUGUUGUGGGGUGGAAAGCCUUGUGCGGCUGAGGAUGGGCCCGCGG